Molecule: long non-coding RNA, 3230 nt
Filed under: Cairina moschata (Muscovy duck)
Lineage: Eukaryota; Metazoa; Chordata; Aves; Anseriformes; Anatidae
Description: domestica (muscovy Duck (domestic type)) lncRNA (ENSCMMG00000000259.1)
Source: RNAcentral
AGAAAUGCAGUUGUGUUUUUGCAGUAGAGAACCAGUUUUCUGUAUUCCAAGGUAGUUGUGUAGUCGUAAUAAGGGGAAAUGCUAAGUAGAUAAGUGGACAGUAGAAGGCCUCACUGUUCCAAAAUAAGGUAGAAACUUGAGAAAAACAGGAUGAGCAGUGUGAGAACAGUAAAACAAAGAUCACAAGUUCUCAAAACAUAAGAAAGGAGAAAUUAAAGGGUUGAAAAAAAGAAAAAUUGUACAUAUAUGGUACAGAGGAGCGUCAAGUAGCUUGUGAACAUGUAGUACUCAGCCUAUGAGGAAAAAGGGGUGGUGAUCAGGGGUUGGGUAAUAGGGAAUAAAAGAUUAUGAUUUGUUUACUAAAAUGCGCUCCUAAUUGACAGGACGCCUGCCAUUGCAAUUCCAAAUAAAAUAGCUUCACAGAAGAUCCUGUCUGAAGAAAAUUGAGAUUUUUCUCACAAUUUGGGGGCUCAUCUAGGGUCUCGUCGCCUGAUGAAGAUUUCUCACCACCACAGACAGGAAGGUGAUAAACUGAUUUCAGCAGUCCCAUCAGGGCUGGUGGGUCGUCUCAGUACAGCUGGCAAAGGACCGAGACUGUUAAUCUGAAGACAGGCUCUGCGAAGCUCUGGGGAGAAGGGAGGCCAGCACAGACAUACACAGACACAGCCCACUUAUAGUCCAGCCCAGAUCAGUAACAGGCACAGGGAUUACUGCCGAUAACUCAGACUGGGAAGCCAUGCACGGACUGAGGGGUUGUUGUCUGAAGAUUUGUUCUCACAUGAUGACUUCAAGAGACAAAGGCCUUUAUAUCCUGAAUCACAACACCAUGGUCAGACAGCAUGCAUUUUCCAUAAUCACACAGGGAGCGGGGAAGAGCCCAUCACAGAGCACACACCUACACAGAGCGCUGGAAACCCUGCAAGCAGUGCCAGAACACCACCACUUUAGCACCUUCCUCUGGUCAGCAGUGUGCAGGACAAGCCAGAAGCAGAGCAGCAGUGGGAGGCAGGUACAGCUCUGCCACAUGGGAGCACAGAUCUGGCAGGCAGCUGGGAUAUCCCCCAGCUUCAGAGGAUGAGGAGGGGUGAGCCAGAGCCUCAGCUCUCACUGGAGCUGCACCAGCACCCAUGGAGAGGGCCAUGGGUCUAUGCCUACAAAGAAAGCAAGUAGCCUCCCACUAUUUCCAGAUAAUUUAAUGCACAUCACUUAAUAGAGAUACAACUGUGUAGAUAAAAGAUAAUGACAAAAAAAAAAAAAAAAAAACAAACCACCACACUGGUAAAUUGGAAAAGCAGCUAGACUCUGCAAGCUGCCUGGCAGCUGAGCUGCCAGGUCUCACAUCCCUCAGGAGGUAGCACAAGUAAGUAAUGCAUCUGUCAGGGACAACUUUCAGAAAGGAAGUCUUGCCCACAAGAUAAGCCACAGGCUGGGAAAUCUGAGCCAAGGUUUCCUACCAGGUGAUGGCUUCAUUAACCAAUAAUUAAUAAGCUACAGAAAUGAACUGGCAGGGAUUGAAAGUCACGUAUUUAAUGGGCAAGAAGUCAAAGAAAGGACAUCACAUCCAUGAGGGGAGACUAGAGCUUUCUUCCUUUGCACAGCUGCCAUAGGCUAUUUUUCCUGUGCUGCUUUUCCACCAUCACUGAGUGGAAGUCUGCACGUCUCACCAGUUGCAAGCUUAGGCCAACAGGCCAGACAUCUCCAGAAUCAUUUCAUGUUGGCACCAGAAGAUCUCCUCCUCCUCCACUGCUCAAGGGAGAAGGGAUCCCGUUAUCAAAGCUCCAGCACCACCACUCAGGAAGCUCUGCAACACGUUGGAAGAAGAGGUGCCAAAGAUGCGGUGAAUGAGACCACAAAGAGCUGGAUGAGCUGGCCCCGACAGCAGUUAUUCCCACAGCCAAAGCUCAAGAGAGAUGGAAUACAUUAAAACCACCCACAGCUCUUGUGGGAGAACAACAAGUACCAUUGCAGACUCCGGAAUGACUGAUUCAAAACAAAUAUAUCCAUUAUCCACAUUGGGUUUGGACACGAGACCAGGCUGCAUGCUAAGGCAUUGUUUUUGGAUUUCUUAACUAUGAGUUUGGUCUGGCAGAAGCUGUCCUGUAAGGACACCUCAGCUGCAAGACAGGUAACUGUGGGUGACCACAGAAGAAUCUCAGAAAGAGACAUCCUGUGUCAGUACUCCUCGGGGCAGGCCUUGGCAGCACAGGUGUCUUUCCUCAGGCACAAGCCCCCUCUUCUCAGGAGUGGCACUGCUCAGAUGCCAUGGAGAGGGUGUUUGAUUUGUGUUGGAUUUGCUGAGCUUGCAUCCAGGUUUCUCUCCUCUUAGCAUUGCAGUCUCUAUAUACAACAGUGAAGGUGAGCAGCCCUGCAGAGCUCAGCCAAGCCCAGGUAGCAAGGGCCAGCUUUCACGCACAAAGCACGACGCUGGGGCAGGUGAAAGAGUUGCUCUUCUCAUGGAAGCAGACAUGAAGAGGCAUCUGGGCUCACAGCUUCAUUUUUCAGCACAGAACAUGGGUUAAAAUGACUUCCAGCGCCAGCUCAAGCUCAGAGAGCCGUGAGAUGUUUUGGUGGCAACCCCACGUGGCUCUGCAGUUACUCGCAGUCUCAUGGGUCAAAAGCCCUCAACAUUGCUGGCCCAGACCUCCUCCUUAACCAGAAUUACCCAGCUGAAGUUGGCAGUUAUUUCCAGAUAAGAUACCCAUCUACCCUCUGCUUACAUAAGCAAGUGCCGAUACUCCAAGUAGUCUUUUCCCUUGGCAGGAGAGAAAAAGAAGGCUUACUGUAAAUACAGAUGACUGUUUAAUUACCUUCUGAUAAAGUCUAAGUUUCAGUGUUUCUGGCUUUAAUAUAAAGUCGUACCUAUUUCAAUUCCUUCAACUCUAAUAGCUAGACCACAUCAAGUCACAAGGAAUUUGUUAGUGGUACCGUUUGAGCAGAGCUCAUUGUUUCAUGGUAUGAUAAAUUGGCAAUACAACAUGGUAAACUUAUCUGUAACUUGUUGCUAUUUGACUGGCAGCAAUAAAAAUACCCUCUGCUUUACUACACGAGUGAAACCCCGAGCAAUGCAUACUCUUUUGCUAAAGGAAAUCUGACCUGUUUAGACUUUACUGUACAAAUAUCAACUUUUUUUCUGACCCCAAAGACUUCCCUGCACACUGUCUUCAGAUAAACAUUAACAUAUGAAUUCUUACUAGAAUUUCAUUCUUAAUAUUAUAAGCAAGGUGUCUGGG